AAAAACUAGGAUUAGAUACCCUAUUAUUAAAGUAAAAUUUUUAAGGAAGCACUAAAAUCAAUCUGAUUAAAACUUAAAGAAUAUGGCGGCAGUUACAAUUUUUAGGGGAAUUUACACAAUAAUUGACAACCCUCAUGAUGUUUUACAUAUUUUUAUAGUUUGUAUACCGCCGUCUUUAGGUGCCAUUUUAAAUUGUACUAACAACUUUUAAUAGUAAAAGACAGGUCAUGGUGCAGCCAAUNANUAUGAUUGUUGCGAGUUACAAUAUUUUUUUAUUUNGAAUAGAUUAUUAAAUUAUAAAAAGAAGUUGGACUUAAUAGUAAAAUAUAAAUUGAAGU
This 338-nucleotide ribosomal RNA is filed under the name Zospeum suarezi. RNAcentral describes it as "partial 12S ribosomal RNA". Lineage: Eukaryota; Metazoa; Mollusca; Gastropoda; Ellobiida; Ellobiidae. The record is from RNAcentral.